RNA transcript from Alligator mississippiensis (American alligator), 927 nucleotides. RefSeq lists it as uncharacterized. The transcript is spliced from 6 exons. NCBI's taxonomy places the organism in Eukaryota, Metazoa, Chordata, Crocodylia, Alligatoridae. The record is from RefSeq and is a predicted model, not a curated record.
GCCGGGAACAGCUGUUGCCACAGCCGGUGUAAUGGCGGUUCGCGUGGCUGCAGCUACAAACGCGGCUCCUAUUCCCGCUGCUCUUGAGCAGCUCCCGAUUGCUACGCUUCAUGCUGCUUCCACCAGUCACAACAGGCAGAAAAGAAGAACGUACUCAUGAAGCCUGAGACGGAAGCCUGAAGCCACUUCCGUCUCAAGUGACAAUGCUGGCAGUGUCACUACCAGGUUAAGAACAGUAUAUUGUGUUUGUUUGCCUUACUUCCAGGUUUGCCUGCUGCCCAGCUGCCUGGCCUACAGUGUGCAAGAUUUAAAAAUGCAGAAAGAUUACAAAUGUUCAGCUCCUGCCUCUGGUUGCUGAAGGCUCCGUGUUUCCCUGCCUCCUGCAAGUGUCUCACCUCUUUCUCAAUUCAGGUGUUAGAAUCUCCCGCCAUGAGAUGCUGGAUGAUGAUGUCAUCACCUCCAGUCCAUGUUUUCAGCUCUUGGUAAAUUUAACUUUCCAUUGUUAGUAACAGGGUCCAAGGGCUCCCUGAUACAGGAACUAAGAGGAGAGGUAUGGAAUGACACAGGAAGUCAGCAAUCAUAUUCUUGUUUCUGGGUUGAUGCUCUACUGAGAAACAAAAAGGCUGUAACGCCAGUGACCAAUGAAUUAUACAUGCCUUGUCAGUUUUUGCUGACUGUAGCCAUCUUAAUGGUGCAUGGUCCGUGAUUAAUAUAAAUGUUCUCCCUAGCAAAUAAUAUCUAAAAAUCUCCACCCCCCACCUGAUGGCCAAACACUCCCUCUCUGUGGUAAAAUACCUAACCUCAGCUCUUGAAAAUUGCUUGCUGGCAUAAGCUAUGGAUCUUUCUUCUCCUUGUACUCUUUGGAAUAAGACCGCUCCCAGAGCACUUCCUGAAGCAUCUGUUUGUAAAUAAAAUACUUCUUGGAAA